GAUAGCUGGUUCUCCUCGAAAUAGCUUUAGGGCUAGCCUCAUGGAUCAUUGGUGGGGGUAGAGCACUGAAUGUGCGCGGGGGCCACAAAGCCUACCAAACGCUAUCAAACUUCGAAUACCAUACAAUGCAGACCAUGGGAGUCAGUCCGCGAGAGAUAAGUUCCGCGGGCAAAAGGGGAACACCCCAGAUCAACCGCUAAGGUCCCCAAGUUCACGUUAAGUGGAGAAGGAUGUGGAAUUGCACAGACAACCAGGAUGUUGGCUCAGAAGCAGCCACACAUUUAAAGAGUGCGUAAUAGCUCACUGGUCGAGUGAUUGUGCGCCGAAGAUGUCCGGGGCUAAACGUGACACCGAAGCGAUGGGUGCGUCUGAAGAAGAUGCGCGGUAGAGGAGCAAUGUGCAGAGGCAGAAGCCGUAUCGAGAGGCACGGUGGACACUGCACAAGAGAGAAUGCCGGUAUGAGUAGCGAGAGGCAUGCGAGAAACAUGCCCGUCGAAAGCCCAAGGUUUCCUGGGGAAGGUUCAUCCGCCCAGGGUAAGUCGGGGCCUAAGCCGAGGACGGAAGUCGUAGGCGAUGGACAGCAGGUGUAGAUUCCUGCACUACCGAUGGAAUGAAGCAGUGACACAGAAGGAUAACUCGAGCAGGGUGAUGGUCAACCCUGUGCAAGCAUUGAGGUUGGGUUGUAGUGAAGUACGCAAUCCUAUAAGCUGAGGUGUGAUGCGGACCGAAAUUUCAGUAGGGAAGCGAGUGAGUUCACGCUGGCGAGAAAAGCUGCUAGUACAUCCAAAGGUACCCGUACCGGAAACCGACGCAGGUGGGCGAGGAGAGAAUCCUGAGACGGACGGGAGAACUCUUGUUAAGGAACUCGGCAAAAUGACCCCGUAACUUCGGGAUAAGGGGUGCCUGCGAGAGCAGGCCGCAGAGAAUAGUCACAAGCGACUGUUUAGCAAAAACACAGGUAUCUGCGAAAGCGAGAGCUGACGUAUAGGUGCUGACACCUGCCCGGUGCUGGAAGGUUAAGGGAACAUGUUAGAGCAAUCGAAGCAUCGAACCGAAGCCCCAGUAAACGGCGGCCGUAACUAUAACGGUCCUAAGGUAGCGAAAUUCCUUGUCGGGUAAGUUCCGACCCGCACGAAUGGCGUAACGACUUGUGAGCUGUCUCAACAGGAGGCCCGGUGAAAUUGAAGUAUGUGUGAAGAUGCACAUUACCCGCGACUGGACGGAAAGACCCCGUAGAGCUUUACUGCAGCCUGAUAUUGAGUUUCGGUAACUGAUGCACAGGAUAGGUGGGAGUCUGAGAGACACGGGUUUCGGCUCGUGUGGAGACGGUGUUGGGAUACCACUCUUCGGUUACUGAAAUUCUAACAUAGCUCUGUGAAACCAGAGGAUGGACAGUGUCAGGUGGACAGUUUGACUGGGGCGGUCGCCUCCGAAAGAGUAACGGAGGCGCCCAAAGGUACCCUCAGAAUGGAUGGAAACCAUUCGAAGAGCGCAAAGGCAGAAGGGUGCCUGACUGCGAGAUUGACAAAUCGAGCAGAGACGAAAGUCGGGCUUAGUGAUCCGGCGGUAUUGAGUGGAAAAGCCGUCGCUUAACGGAUAAAAGCUACCUCGGGGAUAACAGGCUGAUCUCCCCC
RNAcentral lists this ribosomal RNA (1634 nucleotides) under human gut metagenome. Its description in RNAcentral is "bacterial LSU rRNA". It matches the Rfam family "Bacterial large subunit ribosomal RNA", at positions 844 to 2493 of the family's 2925-position model. The record is from RNAcentral.